AGGACUGGGAUGAGCUGUGGCCAACCGGGAAGGAAUCUAGAAGAGAAAAUCCCAGAAAAGACUCCCUCCCAGGGGAACCAUUGGGGUGACUCUGGGAAAACAGCCUCCAUCUCGCUCUGUCUGGGGAAAUCGUCUGCCCUCUAGAGGCCAGUCUGGGUAGCAACGCAGGGAUGAUUGUAUUUCCACGCCUUUUGAGGAUUAGGAGGGAAGACAGAAGAAUACAGGUGCGAAGUGACCAGCCGCCUUGCUACAACCCGUCAGAGCAGUCUCUAGGAGUUCCUACGUGCUCACAUCUGCCGUGCAGAUGUCCAGGAUAAAGAGAAUCAAGAGAGAAGACAUUGUUGCCAGAGACCUCCCGCCCUGGAGAACAGAAAAGCAUCCUAAAGAAGAGGUUCUUCACCACAAGGAAAAAACCAGAGGAACAUAAAAAUCUCCAGAAGGACAUUCCAGGAAUCCCCAGUGUUUCCUCCUCCUUAGAAAUAGAAGACAAACUGGUCACUUGAUCUCUUCAGUUUCUUAGGAAUCUACUGAGCUCUAGUGAUGUGGGGGAUAUCAGAGGCUGGGGGGUGGGGAACUACAGUUAACCCAUAGCUCUGGAAACCCUGUUUAUGCCCACCUGCAGCAGCGUGCCUGAGGGGAGAGGGGGCAUUUUGUGAUACCAGGUGCCAUCAGACACAUGCCUGGUGAGUAGCCCAAACUCAUUCAUGUCCAAAACAUACUCCUGGUCACCAGAAAGCUCUCCCCUGAGCUCUGGGACCCAGACCCCUUCCAUGUGUCUCUUCAUCUUCAACAUGCAAUUUCAAAAUGGCGGUGCUCCUUGACAGGCCAGAGAGGAGAGUCCUGGAAGUAGCUCUUCUCACUUCUGCUAGAAGUUCAGAAAAUGGGUCAGUUUGAUGGACCUGCUGGCUGGUCUGUGCCCACCAAGAAGGGGGCAAUUUGGGUAUAAAGAAAGAAAAGAUAGUGGUAUAUCA
Neogale vison (American mink) is the source of this 971-nucleotide long non-coding RNA. RefSeq lists it as uncharacterized. The transcript has 3 exons. Lineage: Eukaryota; Metazoa; Chordata; Mammalia; Carnivora; Mustelidae. The record is from RefSeq and is a predicted model, not a curated record.